UUUCCGUAGGUGAACCUGCGGAAGGAUCAUUAUCGUAUAACCGAGAUGCGAGGGCUGUCGCUGACCCGAAAGGUCGUGCACGCCCGAGUGCCCUCACACACAUCCAUCUCACCCCUAUGUGCACCACCGCGUGGGUCCCCCUUUGGCUUGUUCGGAGGGGGGCUUACGUUUUCACACAAACUUUGUAUGCAGUGUAGAAUGUAUUUUUUGUUUUUGCGAUCACGCAAUCAAUACAACUUUCAACAACGGAUCUCUUGGCUCUC
RNAcentral lists this unclassified non-coding RNA (263 nucleotides) under plant metagenome. RNAcentral's name for it is "partial contains small subunit ribosomal RNA, internal transcribed spacer 1, and 5.8S ribosomal RNA". The record is from RNAcentral.